Molecule: long non-coding RNA, 145 nt
Organism: Haliotis rubra (blacklip abalone)
Lineage: Eukaryota; Metazoa; Mollusca; Gastropoda; Lepetellida; Haliotidae
Exons: 4
Source: RefSeq, a predicted model, not a curated record
UUGGUGUGUUUUUCCUAUUUACUUUGGCGUUGGUUUGAGUCAUUUACGAUUAUUUGUUUUUGAGUUAGUGUGCAAUUCAUUGGGGAGAUUUUGACUCAGACGGACUUUAAGGCUCUAUAACUCACAAUCACUAAUGUAAGAGAGU